AGAGUUUGAUCAUGGCUCAGGACGAACGCUGGCGGCGUGCCUAACACAUGCAAGUCGAGCGAAGUGCUUUAAGUGGAAUCCUUCGGGAUAAAACUUGAAGCACUUAGCGGCGGACGGGUGAGUAAUACGUGAGGAACCUACCUUCCACAAGGGGAUAGCCUCGGGAAACCGGGAUUAAUACCCUAUGACACCUAGGUAUCGCAUGAUACUUAGGUUAAAGCGCUUUAGCGGUGGGAGAUGGCCUCACGUCCCAUUAGCUAGUUGGUGAGGUAACGGCUCACCAAGGCGACGAUGGGUAGCCGGCCUGAGAGGGUGACCGGCCACACUGGGACUGAGACACGGCCCAGACUCCUACGGGAGGCAGCAGUGGGGAAUAUUGCACAAUGGGCGAAAGCCUGAUGCAGCGACGCCGCGUGAGCGAAGAAGGCCUUCGGGUCGUAAAGCUCUGUCCUAUGGGAAGAUAAUGACGGUACCAUAGGAGGAAGCCCCGGCUAACUACGUGCCAGCAGCCGCGGUAAUACGUAGGGGGCGAGCGUUGUCCGGAAUGACUGGGCGUAAAGGGUACGUAGGCGGCUGAGUAAGUCAGGUGUGAAAGUCUAGGGCUCAACCCUAGUGAGCACUUGAAACUGCUUGGCUUGAGUCGAGGAGAGGAAGGUGGAAUUCCUGGUGUAGCGGUGAAAUGCGUAGAUAUCAGGAGGAAUACCAGUGGCGAAGGCGACCUUCUGGCCUUGGACUGACGCUGAGGUACGAAAGCGUGGGGAGCAAACAGGAUUAGAUACCCUGGUAGUCCACGCCGUAAACGAUGAGUGCUAGGUGUCGGGGGAGAUAUCCUUCGGUGCCGAAGUUAACACAUUAAGCACUCCGCCUGGGGAGUACGGUCGCAAGACUGAAACUCAAAUGAAUUGACGG
RNAcentral lists this ribosomal RNA (909 nucleotides) under uncultured bacterium. RNAcentral describes it as "bacterial SSU rRNA". It matches the Rfam family "Bacterial small subunit ribosomal RNA", at positions 8 to 916 of the family's 1533-position model. The record is from RNAcentral.